UGGCAGAAAAACAGCAACUAUGACCACCAAACCAACCAAAAUGAUGUGAAACGCAAUUUCUUAAUUUCAGUCUCAAACUGUGCCUGGGCCAAUAUAUGUGAAAGUCUGAUGUCCAUGUGGAUUCAAAUCCUGAUUCACUCAGUCUUGGAGGUGCCUGAAGACGUCUACAAGUGGAAGAAAAGAAACCACUGGAGCGGAAGGUGGGGAGGAUAAAAUUUGGAGCAAGAUUCUCAAGGAAGCAACAAAAUCCUAAGGCCACUGCUUUGCUGAGUCAUUCUACUAUGCGGCCCCUCAGACACAAAGCCCGGCGGCCACCUGCCCACAGAGGCACAGAGGGCCAGCCAACUGCAAGCUCGGAACUUCAGGAUCUUGCUUUUCAGAUGAAGAAAGUGGUCAGCAUCUUCUCCAGAUCAGAAAAAUUGCAUUUGUUUUCCCUUUUUAUUGUGAAGUUUCAAACAUAUACAAGUUAGCAGAAAUUAUUAAAUGAUUGCCUCUUGGCCUUUUGGCUAAGAUCAAGGGUAAAAAAUUAUUAAAUGAGCAAUUAAAAACACUUUUGAAACAAAAUAAAAAAUAAAAAAAUCUAAGUAAAGGAAUAUAA
This 598-nucleotide long non-coding RNA is filed under the name Piliocolobus tephrosceles (Ugandan red Colobus). Its description in RNAcentral is "lncRNA (ENSPTEG00000030177.1)". The record is from RNAcentral. Lineage: Eukaryota; Metazoa; Chordata; Mammalia; Primates; Cercopithecidae.